UGAGGAAUUUUGCGCAAUGGGAGCAAUCCUGACGCAGCAACGCCGCGUGGGUGAUGAAGGCCUUCGGGUCGUAAAGCCCUGUCAGGUGGGAAGAAUGUCCCGGGACUGAACAGGUUCCGGGAGUGACGGUACCACCAGAGGAAGCACCGGCUAACUCCGUGCCAGCAGCCGCGGUAAUACGGAGGGUGCAAGCGUUAUUCGGAAUUACUGUGCGUACAGCGCGUGUAGGCGGUCCCGAAAGUCUGAUGUGAAAGCCCCGGGCUUAACCCGGGAAGUGCAUUGGAAACUGUGGGACUUGAGUACUGGAGAGGAUGGGGGAAUUCCCGGUGUAGAGGUGAAAUUCGUAGAGAUCGGGAGGAAGAUCAGUGGCGAAGGCGCCCAUCUGGACGGUAACUGACGCUGAGACGCGAAAGCGUGGGGAGCAAACA
RNAcentral lists this ribosomal RNA (428 nucleotides) under uncultured prokaryote. RNAcentral's name for it is "bacterial SSU rRNA". It matches the Rfam family "Bacterial small subunit ribosomal RNA", at positions 355 to 774 of the family's 1533-position model. The record is from RNAcentral.